Molecule: ribosomal RNA, 200 nt
Filed under: uncultured bacterium
Lineage: Bacteria
Description: partial 16S ribosomal RNA
Source: RNAcentral
UUACCGCGGCUGCUGGCACGGAGUUAGCCGGUGCUUCUUCCUGCGGUACCGUCAAAUCCCGUAGUUAUUCGCUACAGGACUAUUCUUUCCGCACGAAAGGGUUUUACAACCCGAAGGCCUUCAUCACCCACGCGGCGUCGCUGGGUCAGGCUUUCGCCCAUUGCCCAAUAUUCCCCACUGCUGCCUCCUCGUAGGAAGCG